Molecule: ribosomal RNA, 415 nt
Filed under: Algibacter sp. Asnod2B06
Lineage: Bacteria; Pseudomonadati; Bacteroidota; Flavobacteriia; Flavobacteriales; Flavobacteriaceae
Description: bacterial SSU rRNA
Rfam family: Bacterial small subunit ribosomal RNA
Source: RNAcentral
AUGCCGCGUGCAGGAUGACUGCCCUAUGGGUUNNNACUGCUUUUAUACAGGAAGAAACAUCUCUACGUGUAGAGACUUGACGGUACUGUAAGAAUAAGGAUCGGCUAACUCCGUGCCAGCAGCCGCGGUAAUACGGAGGAUCCAAGCGUUAUCCGGAAUCAUUGGGUUUAAAGGGUCCGUAGGUGGAUAAUUAAGUCAGAGGUGAAAGUUUGCAGCUCAACUGUAAAAUUGCCUUUGAUACUGGUUAUCUUGAAUCAUUAUGAAGUAGUUAGAAUAUGUAGUGUAGCGGUGAAAUGCAUAGAUAUUACAUAGAAUACCAAUUGCGAAGGCAGAUUACUAAUAAUGUAUUGACACUGAUGGACGAAAGCGUGGGGAGCGAACAGGAUUAGAUACCCUGGUAGUCCACUGNNGCCUC